GUUAAGAUGGCAGAGCCUGGUAAUUGCGUAAGACUUAAAACUUUAUUUCAGAGGUUCAACUCCUCUUCUUAACA
This is a non-coding RNA of Ictidomys tridecemlineatus (thirteen-lined ground squirrel), 74 nucleotides long. The record is from Ensembl. NCBI's taxonomy places the organism in Eukaryota, Metazoa, Chordata, Mammalia, Rodentia, Sciuridae.